Long non-coding RNA from Epinephelus lanceolatus (giant grouper), 711 nucleotides. RefSeq lists it as uncharacterized. NCBI's taxonomy places the organism in Eukaryota, Metazoa, Chordata, Actinopteri, Perciformes, Serranidae. The record is from RefSeq and is a predicted model, not a curated record.
GUUGGUUGGCUGCUCAGGAAGCUAAGCUGCUGCUCCAGACGACAAACUCUGAAGGCCAGAUAGCAGGACGACAGGACCAACAGGAAGACACUGAGAGACAGACGGAGUGAGUGCAUGUGUGUGAGUGAUAGUGGGUGAUAAACAGGCAGGUGGUGGCUGGUGAUUGGUCGAUUCGACAGGAUUGCUGCCUCUGGAUUGGUCCAACAGAUGACAGCAGUCUUUUGAACUCCAGCUGACAGAAACUCUUCCCUCCUUUACCUCUACCACUGCUUACAAAGCCAGCAUAUACAUUGUGUAAUUUAUGAGAUUUGUGUGUAAAUAAAUCCGUAGGCAAGCCAUUUUGACAGUUAUUAGUGUGCUUUGACUUCAUAACUAUGUCAGUUAUGGGAGAGCCAUUUGACAAAUUUGUAUAUGUAAUCUGAGGCUUGCAAUCUUGUAGUGCUAUCAGUCUGUAAAUAUUUUGCUAUUCUUUUUGGUCACUGUAAAUAUAGAGCAGUUUAAAGCAGUUAAGUACCAGUGAGAAGCCCUUUAUAUUAAGCAUUUUCAUGUUUUCUCUUGUUUUGAAUUUUAGGAGUGCAGGGUAGAAUCUUGUUUUGCUUGAGCUUUGUUUCUUUGUUAGGUAAGUUUAGGUUUGAACUACUGAACUUCUGUUUGUUGUUUUGGGUAUGGCUCAACUCUGACCUUUGAAAUAAACUAACUGUUUUCUGAUAA